RNAcentral lists this small nuclear RNA (93 nucleotides) under Procavia capensis (Cape rock hyrax). The record is from RNAcentral. Lineage: Eukaryota; Metazoa; Chordata; Mammalia; Hyracoidea; Procaviidae.
GAUACAUUAAAAAAAAUUGGUAUGAUGCAGAGAAGAUUAGCAUAGCCCCUGCACAAGGAUGACAUGUAAAUUUGUGACAUGUUCUCUGUUUUU